RNAcentral lists this transfer RNA (64 nucleotides) under Iberoporus pluto. RNAcentral's name for it is "tRNA-Cys". Lineage: Eukaryota; Metazoa; Arthropoda; Insecta; Coleoptera; Dytiscidae. The record is from RNAcentral.
AGUGAAGUAUUUUAAUUAAAAUAUUAAAUUGCAAAUUUAAAGAUAGAGACCCCUCUCCUCAUUU